RNAcentral lists this ribosomal RNA (623 nucleotides) under uncultured Desulfosarcina sp. Its description in RNAcentral is "bacterial SSU rRNA". It matches the Rfam family "Bacterial small subunit ribosomal RNA", at positions 56 to 651 of the family's 1533-position model. Lineage: Bacteria; Pseudomonadati; Thermodesulfobacteriota; Desulfobacteria; Desulfobacterales; Desulfosarcinaceae. The record is from RNAcentral.
UGCAAGUCGUACGAGAACACCCUAGCUUGCUAGGGUAAGUAAAGUGGCGCACGGGUGAGUAACGCGUGGGUAAUCUACCUUCGAAUUGGGGAUAACGUUGCGAAAGCGACGCUAAUACCGAAUAACAUCCAUUUAUCUUCGGAUUUUUGGAUCAAGGGUGGCCUCUACAUGUAAGCUACUGUUUGAAGAUGAGCCCGCGUACCAUUAGCUUGUUGGUGGGGUAAUGGCCUACCAAGGCAGCAAUGGUUAGCUGGUCUGAGAGGAUGAUCAGCCACACUGGAACUGACACACGGUCCAGACUCCUACGGGAGGCAGCAGUGAGGAAUUUUGCGCAAUGGGGGAAACCCUGACGCAGCAACGCCGCGUGAGUGAUGAAGGCUUUCGGGUCGUAAAGCUCUGUCAAGUGGGAAGAACCUGCAGUAUGCUAAUACCAUAUUGCACUGACGGUACCACUGAAGGAAGCACCGGCUAACUCCGUGCCAGCAGCCGCGGUAAUACGGGGGGUGCAAGCGUUAUUCGGAAUCAUUGGGCGUAAAGGGCACGUAGGCGGCCUGGUAAGUCAGAUGUGAAAGCCCUGGGCUUAACCCGGGAAGUGCAUUUGAUACUGUCAGGCUUGAGUAUGG